CCCUUAGAUGUUCUGGGCCGCACGCGCGCUACACUGAUGCAUUCAACGAGUCUAAAACCUGGUCUGAUAGGGCUGGGUAAUCUUUUGAAAGUGCAUCGUGAUUGGGAUAGAUGAUUGCAAUUCUUCAUCUUCAACGAGGAAUGCCUAGUAAACGCAAGUCAUCAGCUUGCAUUGAUUACGUUCCUGCCCUUUGUACACACCGCCCGUCGCUCCUACCGAUUGAAUGAUCCGAUGAAUACCAUGGAUUGAGAGUACGAAUGGGUUCGCUCAUUUCUGCUGCUCGAGAAGUGGAGUAAAUCUUAUCAUUUAGAGGAAGGAGAAGUCGUAACA
This 330-nucleotide ribosomal RNA is filed under the name uncultured eukaryote. Its description in RNAcentral is "partial 18S ribosomal RNA". It matches the Rfam family "Eukaryotic small subunit ribosomal RNA", at positions 1470 to 1796 of the family's 1831-position model. The record is from RNAcentral.